Molecule: non-coding RNA, 639 nt
Organism: Hydra vulgaris (swiftwater hydra)
Lineage: Eukaryota; Metazoa; Cnidaria; Hydrozoa; Anthoathecata; Hydridae
Source: RefSeq, a predicted model, not a curated record
UGUGGUAUACUAUUCGAAAUACAACUCUGAAAGGAAAAAAAAAAAAUUUCUCCAUCGAUUUGAUUCUGCUGAGUAUUGGAUAUUUGAUGUUAGAUGCUGUUGCAACGCUAAACUUUUCAACUAUUAGUUUUUUAGGAUAUUCAAAACAUUUUCAAUAUAUGUAAGUUGAGAGUUUCAAAAAAAAGUUUUAUUCCAAUUUGCUGAAAUUAACAACAUUUUAGUAGAUAUAACUGCACAGUUCUCUAAUGAUCCAGAAGAAGGUUUUACACAACGUAAAAUUUCAGAUGAACUUAAUGUUUUGAAAAGAAAAAUUGCAAAUAUAGAUAUCCAAUACAUCGCUUUUGUAUUAGUAAAACAGUUAUCAUUAAUUAGCGGUAAAAAAUCGAGUAGAUACAAUUAAAAAUAUUUUGCUCUUACUACCAACAGACACUAUUUUGUCCGAAUACAGCAUGAAUGGUCUAAAGAAGAAAAAAAAGUUUAAAGAAUUGACAAGUCUAUGUAAUGCUGAAACUGCUUUAAAGUCAAAUAAAAACAAAAUGGAUGCCAUCCAUCCAACUUAUUGGGAGAGUAAUUAGGAAUUCUUCUGACCGAUUAAAGAAAACAUCCACUAAUAUGAAUAUCGAUCAAUGAUCGGCUUAA